UAGCCCACAGUUUAUAAACACUCGGUAGAACUAUAGCCGGAGUCAGUUCCGGCAUGUGGCUGUACAGGUUUACAGUCAUACAUGAACGUGACAUACAGCUAAUUAGUAGUUCUCCAAGCCAGUGCUGUGUUUCAGUCCUUGCUUCCCUCCUCGGAUGCUUCAGAAAGUGCACACUUAACUUCUCAGUUAGCCCUGAGGAAGGAUGGAGUGCACUGGGCAUGAAGGAGGGGGAGAGUAUUGCACUCAUCCAGGGCAUGGAAGAAGGUCAAGCAUGACCAUCCACUCUCAGGACCAUGAAGCACUGGCCAUGUUACCGUUUCAACUGGGAAUAAAAGGCUAGUGCAUCCUGA
Myotis brandtii (Brandt's bat) is the source of this 350-nucleotide long non-coding RNA. RefSeq lists it as uncharacterized. The transcript has 4 exons. The record is from RefSeq and is a predicted model, not a curated record. Lineage: Eukaryota; Metazoa; Chordata; Mammalia; Chiroptera; Vespertilionidae.